Molecule: long non-coding RNA, 727 nt
Filed under: Lepisosteus oculatus (spotted gar)
Lineage: Eukaryota; Metazoa; Chordata; Actinopteri; Semionotiformes; Lepisosteidae
Description: lncRNA (ENSLOCG00000021256.1)
Source: RNAcentral
AUUUGUUUAAAAAAAGUACAUCUCGGCCCUAAAGCCUCAGGAAAGACAAACAUUCCUUUUCCAAACAAAGGAAAACCACCGAGGUGGGGACGCGCGGCCCAUCGUUGCUUCUGGCUCGGAUGCCAGAUGCGGAGACGGCGGCUCUGCUCGCCUGUUGGUGGGGCGGGCUGAGGGAAGGCUCGCUUUCGCUGACUGAUCGGGAUUCAGCCGUGCAGCGAUAAAAGGAAGUUUUAUGCUAGGGAAACUUCGGUGAAAAUGAAUCUGCACCCGGGGUUUUGACAGGCAGCCAAGAUCAGCAGAGCGCCCCCCCUCCCACCGUGCAGCAGAGAGGGAUCCCCGCGCCCCCUCGUGUCCGGGGGGCCAGGAGCCCUUUCCGCUCUGGAGCAGAGCACGGCUCUCCACGGCUGCACCUUCCACAGUCCAGUUCAGAUGUAGCCAGGAGGUACAGGGUGAGAAAUAUCCCUGGUAUGUUCCUGGAGAAAAGAUGGAUAAGAAGGAGCAGCUAAUGAGAGCUUUCCCAAAGCCACAGGGUUGUAAAGAAGAAAGAGUAAAAGGGCAUUUUCUGACUUCCACGUCUCGGCCUUGCAGCUCUGCCUCCUCCUGAGCCCGAAGAUUGCUCGAGCUUCCCACAUUCCCUGCUUUGGCAACAGCUCCAGUGCCUCAUCCACCCGAAAGCUUUUCCCAUCAUCCCACAACACACAGCAUUGCUGAACCGGAGCCCCUGCCA